AUUGAACGCUGGCGGCAGGCUUAACACAUGCAAGUCGUACGGUAACAGAGGGAAGCUUGCUUCUCUGCUGACGAGUGGCGGACGGGUGAGUAAUGUCUGGGAAGCUGCCUGCUUGAGGGGGAUAGCGGAGCGAAAGUUCCGAUAAUACCGCGUAAGCCCGAGAGGGGAAAGUGCGGGACCGCAAGGCCGCACGCGAGCAGAUGCGCCCAGAUGGGAUUAGGCAGUUGGGGAGGUAACGGCUCACCAAACCGAUGAUCUCUAGCUGGUUUGAGAGGACAAUCAGCCACAUUGGAAUUGAGAAACGGACCAAACUCCUACGGGAGGCAGCAGUGGGGAAUAUUGCACAAUGGGGGAAACCCUGAUGCAGCCAUGCCGCGUGUGUGAAGAAGGCCUUCGGGUUGUAAAGCACUUUUGCAUUCGAGGAAGACAGCGUAUAAAUAAAUGCGCUAUUUGACGUUAGAGUGUGAAUAAGCACCGGCAAACUCC
RNAcentral lists this ribosomal RNA (486 nucleotides) under uncultured bacterium. RNAcentral describes it as "bacterial SSU rRNA". It matches the Rfam family "Bacterial small subunit ribosomal RNA", at positions 30 to 504 of the family's 1533-position model. The record is from RNAcentral.